This 254-nucleotide ribosomal RNA is filed under the name uncultured bacterium. Its description in RNAcentral is "partial 16S ribosomal RNA". It matches the Rfam family "Bacterial small subunit ribosomal RNA", at positions 524 to 776 of the family's 1533-position model. The record is from RNAcentral.
UACGGGGGGAGCAAGCGUUGUUCGGAUUUACUGGGCGUAAAGGGCGCGUAGGCGGUCAGCACAAGUCAGUUGUGAAAUCUCCGGGCUUAACCCGGAAAGGUCAACUGAUACUGUGCGACUAGAGUGCGGAAGGGGCAACUGGAAUUCCUGGUGUAGAGGUGAAAUUCGUAGAUAUCGGGAGGAACACCAGUGGCGAAGGCGGCGACCUGGGCCAAUAUUGACGCUGAGGUGCGAAAGCGUGGGGAGCAAACAGG